AGUUCUUCAAGCCAUCUGGAAUGAAAAGAAGACAAAGAGCCUCCGGGAAGAGCAGCGAUCAGCGAUUCUCUCCAGGCUUAGCGUCAGCUGGCACCAAAGCAGGGAGGCAUGGCCUGGUUUCCUUCUGCUCCCAUGCUCGAGUGGCACUUCCGGAGGUGGCAAGUAGUCUCUCUGUCACAAUAGGAAAGAGCACUAGGAUGUUGAUGAUCCAGCUAACAGAGACGCAAGCUGAGGCCACAUGAACUCACAGGACACUCCAGGACCUCAAGAUGGACAGAGACUGAGUAGCCAGGAGUCCAGAAGAGCUGCUCUUGAAGUUCACUGACGGAGAUCCAACCUGCCGCUGAUGUUCCCACCCGGCCCCUUCCUUAGGUUUGUGGCACUGUCCAUCCAGUUACUGGUCUGUCUACAAAUGGUCUGCUGCACUGUC
RNAcentral lists this long non-coding RNA (430 nucleotides) under Mus musculus (house mouse). RNAcentral's name for it is "predicted gene, 47715". The record is from RNAcentral. Lineage: Eukaryota; Metazoa; Chordata; Mammalia; Rodentia; Muridae.